RNAcentral lists this ribosomal RNA (459 nucleotides) under uncultured bacterium. RNAcentral describes it as "partial 16S ribosomal RNA". It matches the Rfam family "Bacterial small subunit ribosomal RNA", at positions 338 to 795 of the family's 1533-position model. The record is from RNAcentral.
CCUACGGGAGGCAGCAGUGAGGAAUAUUGGUCAAUGGCCGGAAGGCUGAACCAGCCAUGCCGCGUGAAGGUCAGUGCCCUAUGGGCGUUAAACUUCUUUUGUGCGGGAGCAAGGUCGGGGACGUGUCCCGGCCCGGAGAGUACCCGGAGAAAAAGCAUCGGCUAACUCCGUGCCAGCAGCCGCGGUAAUACGGAGGAUGCGAGCGUUAUCCGGAGUUAUUGGGGUUAAAGGGUGCGUAGUCGGGGUUUUAAGUCAGCGGUAAAAAUUCGGGGCUCAACACCGUCCGGCCGUUGAAACUGGGAGCCUUGAGUGGGCGAGAAGAAGGCGGAAUGCGUGGUGUAGCGGUGAAAUGCAUAGAGAUCACGCAGAACCCCGAUUGCGAAGGCAGCCUUCCGGCGCCCUACUGACGCUGAGGCACGAAAGUGCGGGGAUCGAACAGGAUUAGAUACCCUUGUAGUC